RNAcentral lists this ribosomal RNA (1383 nucleotides) under Pediococcus pentosaceus. RNAcentral's name for it is "16S ribosomal RNA". It matches the Rfam family "Bacterial small subunit ribosomal RNA", at positions 93 to 1460 of the family's 1533-position model. The record is from RNAcentral. Lineage: Bacteria; Bacillati; Bacillota; Bacilli; Lactobacillales; Lactobacillaceae.
GAGUGGCGAACGGGUGAGUAACACGUGGGUAACCUGCCCAGAAGUAGGGGAUAACACCUGGAAACAGAUGCUAAUACCGUAUAACAGAGAAAACCGCAUGGUUUUCUUUUAAAAGAUGGCUCUGCUAUCACUUCUGGAUGGACCCGCGGCGUAUUAGCUAGUUGGUGAGGUAAAGGCUCACCAAGGCAGUGAUACGUAGCCGACCUGAGAGGGUAAUCGGCCACAUUGGGACUGAGACACGGCCCAGACUCCUACGGGAGGCAGCAGUAGGGAAUCUUCCACAAUGGACGCAAGUCUGAUGGAGCAACGCCGCGUGAGUGAAGAAGGGUUUCGGCUCGUAAAGCUCUGUUGUUAAAGAAGAACGUGGGUAAGAGUAACUGUUUACCCAGUGACGGUAUUUAACCAGAAAGCCACGGCUAACUACGUGCCAGCAGCCGCGGUAAUACGUAGGUGGCAAGCGUUAUCCCGGAUUUAUUGGGCGUAAAGCGAGCGCAGGCGGUCUUUUAAGUCUAAUGUGAAAGCCUUCGGCUCAACCGAAGAAGUGCAUUGGAAACUGGGAGACUUGAGUGCAGAAGAGGACAGUGGAACUCCAUGUGUAGCGGUGAAAUGCGUAGAUAUAUGGAAGAACACCAGUGGCGAAGGCGGCUGUCUGGUCUGCAACUGACGCUGAGGCUCGAAAGCAUGGGUAGCGAACAGGAUUAGAUACCCUGGUAGUCCAUGCCGUAAACGAUGAUUACUAAGUGUUGGAGGGUUUCCGCCCUUCAGUGCUGCAGCUAACGCAUUAAGUAAUCCGCCUGGGGAGUACGACCGCAAGGUUGAAACUCAAAAGAAUUGACGGGGGCCCGCACAAGCGGUGGAGCAUGUGGUUUAAUUCGAAGCUACGCGAAGAACCUUACCAGGUCUUGACAUCUUCUGACAGUCUAAGAGAUUAGAGGUUCCCUUCGGGGACAGGAAUGACAGGUGGUGCAUGGUUGUCGUCAGCUCGUGUCGUGAGAUGUUGGGUUAAGUCCCCGCAACGAGCGCAACCCUUAUUACUAGUUGCCAGCAUUAAGUUGGGCACUCUAGUGAGACUGCCGGUGACAAACCGGAGGAAGGUGGGGACGACGUCAAAUCAUCAUGCCCCUUAUGACCUGGGCUACACACGUGCUACAAUGGAUGGUACAACGAGUCGCGAGACCGCGAGGUUAAGCUAAUCUCUUAAAACCAUUCUCAGUUCGGACUGUAGGCUGCAACUCGCCUACACGAAGUCGGAAUCGCUAGUAAUCGCGGAUCAGCAUGCCGCGGUGAAUACGUUCCCGGGCCUUGUACACACCGCCCGUCACACCAUGAGAGUUUGUAACACCCAAAGCCGGUGGGGUAACCUUUUAGGAGCUAGCCGUCUAA